GACGAACGCUGGCGGCGUGCCUAAUACAUGCAAGUCGAACGCAGUGGGGACGGGUGAGUAACACGUGGGUAACCUCCCAUCAGAGGGGAGAACACUUGGAAACAGGUGCUAAACCGAUACUGAUGGAUGGACCCGCGGUGCAUUAGCUAGUGGGUGGGGUAAAGGCUCACCAAGGCCACGAUGCAUAGCCGACCUGCGAGGGUGAACGGCCACAUGUGGACGGAGAAACGGCCCAGCCUCCUACGGGAGGAAGCAGUGGGGAAUCUUCGGCAAUGGACGAAAGUCUGACCGGGAAACGCCGCGUGAGUGAAGAAGGUUUUCGGAUCGUAAGACUCUGUUGUUAGGAAAGCGGUACCUAACCAGAAAGCCACGGCUAACUACGUGCCAGCAGCCGCGGUAAUUC
This 403-nucleotide ribosomal RNA is filed under the name uncultured bacterium. Its description in RNAcentral is "partial 16S ribosomal RNA". It matches the Rfam family "Bacterial small subunit ribosomal RNA", at positions 28 to 526 of the family's 1533-position model. The record is from RNAcentral.